This 138-nucleotide long non-coding RNA is filed under the name Fukomys damarensis (Damara mole-rat). RNAcentral's name for it is "lncRNA (ENSFDAG00000029207.1)". Lineage: Eukaryota; Metazoa; Chordata; Mammalia; Rodentia; Bathyergidae. The record is from RNAcentral.
GGUUGUUAGUCAAAGAUUUAAUCUAAAUAUUUGUUCCACUCUUUUCUUAAAAAAGGAUAGAAAUUCCAAUUCAGAAGAUCAUGAAAGCCAUACAAAUGCUAUGCAGUGCACUUAAAAGACCGGAAGAAGAAAGCAGCU